GUGUCACAAAGCCUUAAUAUUAAAAAUAGUUAUAUUAAAGAAUAAGCACAUAAGUUCCAUGGUUAAGCAAUCAUUUACCGUCUUGGAAAAUAUAGUUUCAGUUUCAAGUUUCACACUUCCAGUUUUUCCAGGAGGGGCCAGGUUUGAAUUUGGCUUAUUAACUAAAAUUAAUCUUAUGGAAGCUGAGAUUACUUAUUCUUAUCUUUGUAAGCUGGGAUUGCUUGUACUACUAGUGAUGAUUGUUCAAAAAAGUUUUUUGAAGAAAGAAGAGUGCCAUUUCUUAAUUGAUAAAUAUAAAAAACUGAAGCUUCUCCAAAUUCACACUUCUGCUACUAAACUAUAAAGACUACUAAAGUUCUAAAAACGAAUCUAUUUUCAGAAAUAUUGGUGAUCCUAUUAUGGCUUACCUCAGCUGCUUGCUUAAAUAAGACAAUGCUUCUG
Molecule: long non-coding RNA, 441 nt
Filed under: Androctonus crassicauda
Lineage: Eukaryota; Metazoa; Arthropoda; Arachnida; Scorpiones; Buthidae
Source: RNAcentral